AUGAGAGGGAGAGAGAGAAGGAAGAACAUGAGAGGAGGGAGAAAGAGAGAGGAAAGAGGAGAGGGGGUCGACGGCCGACAGGAGAGGACCACCGGAAGGAGUGCCGCCGGCUCGUCGUCUUCCACCGCCGGCGUCGGCCUGCACCGGCAAGGUCGGGCGGGACCUUGCUUCCAGGGCGGCUUGACCACAGUCUACAGUACUGCCAGGGGUGGCUGUUUGUUUACUGAAGGGGGUGUUGAUCUGCUGCCCCUUGUUCUACACUCUGUCCAAGAUAGGGAGGCAGAAGAGAGGACAUGUUGA
This 300-nucleotide ribosomal RNA is filed under the name Triticum aestivum (bread wheat). RNAcentral describes it as "partial small subunit ribosomal RNA". Lineage: Eukaryota; Viridiplantae; Streptophyta; Magnoliopsida; Poales; Poaceae. The record is from RNAcentral.